GGCAGCUGACGAGACUGUAACUGACGCUAAAGCUCGAAAGUGCGGGUAUCGAACAGGAUUAGAUACCCUGGUAGUCCGCACGGUAAACGAUGGAUGCCCGCUGUUUGCGAUAUAUUGUAAGCGGCCAAGCGAAAGCGUUAAGCAUCCCACCUGGGGAGUACGCCGGCAACGGUGAAACUCAAAGGAAUUGACGGGGGCCCGCACAAGCGGAGGAACAUGUGGUUUAAUUCGAUGAUACGCGAGGAACCUUACCCGGGCUUGAACUGCAGGAGAACGAUUCAGAGAUGAAGAGGCCCUUCGGGGCUCCUGUGGAGGUGCUGCAUGGUUGUCGUCAGCUCGUGCCGUGAGGUGUCGGCUUAAGUGCCAUAACGAGCGCAACCCUUGCUGUUAGUUGCCAUCAGGUAAUGCUGGGCACUCUGACAGGACUGCCACCGUAAGGUGUGAGGAAGGUGGGGAUGACGUCAAAUCAGCACGGCCCGUACGUCCGGGGCUACACACGUGUUACAAUGGGUGGUACAGACAGUCGGUGUCACGCAAGUUCGCGAAAGUCAAUAAACCAUCCUCAUUACGCGCGAGGGUCUGCAAACCGAGCCCAGAAGC
RNAcentral lists this ribosomal RNA (600 nucleotides) under uncultured bacterium. RNAcentral describes it as "bacterial SSU rRNA". It matches the Rfam family "Bacterial small subunit ribosomal RNA", at positions 720 to 1326 of the family's 1533-position model. The record is from RNAcentral.